CCAGCAGCCGCGGUAAUUCCAGCUCCAAUAGCGUAUAUUAAAGUUGUUGCAGUUAAAAAGCUCGUAGUUGGAUUUGUGGCUGUCGCAUGCGGCCUGACACUUGGUGUUGGUGUCUGCUUGCGUCGCCAUCCUUGGGUGGAACCUGUGUGGCAUUAGGUUGUCGUGCAGGGGAUGCCCAUCGUUUACUGUGAAAAAAUUAGAGUGUUCAAAGCAGGCUUAUGCCGUUGAAUAUAUUAGCAUGGAAUAAUAAGAUAGGACCUUGGUACUAUUUUGUUGGUUUGCGCACCAAGGUAAUGAUUAAUAGGGACAGUUGGGGGUAUUCGUAUUCCAUUGUCAGAGGUGAAAUUCUUGGAUUUUUGGAAGACGAACUACUGCGAAAGCAUUUACCAAGGAUGUUUUCAUUAAUCAAGAACGAAAGU
Molecule: ribosomal RNA, 419 nt
Filed under: uncultured eukaryote
Lineage: Eukaryota
Description: SSU rRNA
Rfam family: Eukaryotic small subunit ribosomal RNA
Source: RNAcentral